CCAAAAAGUAAUUGAGCUACUGAAGCUAUUUAGAAGAAGAGCCUCUGAUUGCAUUGAAGCAGCAGCCAGCUCUGACUACAAAGACAUCUCAGUUUCACUGUGCUGGCAGCAGGUCUGUGGCUGAUUUAGGAGAGGGCUUUGAGAUCAUUUCUAUCCAUCCUUCAAAUCAGCAGUGUCUGCCUGGAGGAGGUUCCUGGUGAAGUUAUUUUUAACUUCUGUCAUGUCCUAAUCAAUUUUUCAAACAUUCUUUACAGCUUAGACCAUGCUCAGCCUCCAAGCAGCCUUGUCAUCGACAAAGAAUCUGAAGUUUACAAGAUGCUUCAGGAGAAACAGGAGUUGAAUGAGCCCCCGAAACAGUCCACGUCUUUCUUGGUUUUGCAGGAAAUCCUGGAGUCUGAAGAAAAAGGGGAUCCCAACAAGCCCUCAGGAUUCAGAAGUGUUAAAGCUCCUGUCACUAA
RNAcentral lists this long non-coding RNA (458 nucleotides) under Homo sapiens (human). RNAcentral's name for it is "non-protein coding lnc-SORBS1-2:1". Lineage: Eukaryota; Metazoa; Chordata; Mammalia; Primates; Hominidae. The record is from RNAcentral.